Molecule: long non-coding RNA, 1593 nt
Organism: Bombus huntii
Lineage: Eukaryota; Metazoa; Arthropoda; Insecta; Hymenoptera; Apidae
Exons: 2
Source: RefSeq, a predicted model, not a curated record
ACAACCGAGGCAGAGCGCCGUCGCCGUCCUCCGACAACGACGGGGGCGCCACCGCGCGGCACCGACGCCGACGCCCGCCACCGAUCGAUAGUCACCGACCGUCGACGACGAUGACGACGACGACGACGACAACGACGACGACGACGACGAAGACGACGAAGACGACGAUGAGGAGGACUACGCUGAGGACGACGACGACGAUGACGACGAGAACGACGACGAUGAGAACAACGACGACGAGGAUGACGACGCCGCCAACCACCACCACUACGCCACGGAACCGCUAUACUACUAUUGCACUCCGGAAACGAAGACUUGGUGGUGACGGCACGUAUUCUAUAAAUAUAAACAAGUCGCACAGCUUUCCAUCUAUAUUUGCACCUUUACGACCACGCCUUCGAUACUCAUCGUUAUCAAUUUGCCGUGUUUUGCUCACGAUUUCACGAAAGUGUCCGUAAAACGUCUCUAGACGUUGCAGGGCUUGUCCAUUCGCGAAACGAGCGAGCGAGCGGCGCCUUAAAAUACGGUCGCAGGACCGUCAUUAGGAACACCUUUUAAGUGCGCCUCGGGCGAGCACUGUUGCCGCGAUAAGGGUGGAGGCGCUUCCUUCUCGUACUCCCGUCAGCGUACGCAUCGUGCGUAAUGUGAACCGGAUGAAGGGGUGGGAGGCCAGGAAGAGAGUGAACGAGAGUGAAAAAAAAAGAAACGAGAAAAGAAAAAAAGAAAAAAAAGGGAAAAGAACACGGAGGAGGUAGAGCGUGCGAGAGACUAGGAGGGAAAAAAGGGAGCUUCAGUGAGAAGGAGGCGAGUAUAAACGUAAAAGGGGAGCGACCGAGAAAGACUUUUAAAAAGAGAGGCAGAGAGGUAGACAGAGAAAGAAGAAACAGAUGUAGAGCAGCGAGGUCGUAACGAAGGGAAAGAGACGAAUUACGUGAAAGAACGGAUAAGGGAAUAGGGUUCGGAAAGAGAGAGAGAAAGAGGAAAAACGGAGGGAGAGACUACUGAUAGAUAAGAAAAGUCAUCACGGUCAGUGCGCGCGCCGCGCCACACCGUCAUUCAUUGAUUGCAUCGUGGCGUGCGGUCUGCCGUGGAGAACGUACGUUUCACGUCGCUAAUGUGCACCGGAUGAAAGGAGAAAGGGAGAAGAAACGGACGAAUAUAGAAGCGAGGGGAAGCAGAGAAAACUACCGGGAGUAGGAAGGCACACUUUGCCGGCAACGUAUAUUCGGCUUUCUCUUUCUCUUUUUCCAUGUGCCCGGCAGGUUCUUCUCUCUUUAUCUCGCUCAUUUUCUCCGCCGUUCGCUAGCGGUGAAACCAGACUCGGUUAAACGGUUCGCGCGAAGAAUUCAUCGUGGCAUGAAAACCGACAGCGGCUACUCCACAGAAAUUGCGCCCUUUUGCAACCAAAUUCGAGAUUAGCCAAAGAAGGAUACGAUACUCGUUCACUGAUAAAUUUUUCCAUCGUACGUUUCUACCUUUCCUGUUUUGUAUAUUAAAAUUUUUAAUUACUUCGCCUCGCUAUCGGAAUAUCGAAAUGUUAUCGAGAAAUUUGUACAACUGUACAGCGUAUGCAAUAAAUAUCAAUUUCAAUUU